RNAcentral lists this ribosomal RNA (482 nucleotides) under uncultured bacterium. RNAcentral's name for it is "partial 16S ribosomal RNA". It matches the Rfam family "Bacterial small subunit ribosomal RNA", at positions 30 to 507 of the family's 1533-position model. The record is from RNAcentral.
AUUGAACGCUGGCGGCAUGCCUUACACAUGCAAGUCGAACGGUAACGAGCCUUCGGGUGCCGACGAGUGGCGAACGGGGGAGUAAUACAUCGGAACGUGCCCGAUCGUGGGGGAUAACGAGGCGAAAGCUUUGCUAAUACCGCAUACGAUCUACGGAUGAAAGCAGGGGACCGCAAGGCCUUGCGCGGACGGAGCGGCCGAUGGCAGAUUAGGUAGUUGGUGGGAUAAAAGCUUACCAAGCCGAUGAUCUGUAGCUGGUCUGAGAGGAUGAUCAGCCACACUGGGACUGAGACACGGCCCAGACUCCUACGGGAGGCAGCAGUGGGGAAUUUUGGACAAUGGGCGCAAGCCUGAUCCAGCCAUGCCGCGUGCAGGAUGAAGGCCUUCGGGUUGUAAACUGCUUUUGUACGGAACGAAAAGCCUUCUUUUAAUACAGGAGGGUCAUGACGGUACCGUAAGAAUAAGCACCGGCUAACUACGUG